This 1497-nucleotide long non-coding RNA is filed under the name Cricetulus griseus (Chinese hamster). RNAcentral's name for it is "lncRNA (ENSCGRG00015029148.1)". The record is from RNAcentral. Lineage: Eukaryota; Metazoa; Chordata; Mammalia; Rodentia; Cricetidae.
GGAGAGGUCCGGGUCUGUGGAGAGGUCCCGGGUCUGUGGAGAGGCCCCGGGGCUGUGGAGAGGUCCCGGGUCUGUGGAGCUGUGGAGCCGCCCGGGCCUGUGGAGAGGUCCUGGGUCUGUGGAGAGCUCCCGGGCCUGUGGAGCUGUGGAGAGGUCCCGGGUCUGUGGAGACGUCCCGGGUCUGUGGAGAGGUCCCGGGUCUGUGGAGAGCUCCCGGGCCUGUGGAGCCGCCCGGGGCUGUGGAGAGGCCCCGGGGCUGUGGAGAGGCCCCGGCUCCGGUUCUGUGGAGAGGUCCGGGUCUGUGGAGAGGUCCCGGGUCUGUGGAGAGGUCCUGGUCUGUGGAGAGGUCCGGGUCUGUGGAGAGGCCCCGGGUCUGUGGAGCUGUGGAGAAGUCCGGGUCUGUAGAGAGGCCCUGAUCUGUAGAGAGAUCCGGGUCUGUGGAGCCGCCCGGGCCUGUGGAGCUGUGGAGAGGCCUCGGGUCUGUGGGGCGGAGUCGCCGGCCAACGGCCUGGUUUGAGCUCCCGGAGAAAACGCCUCAAGUCAGAGUCUAAAGAAGAAGAAGCCACAGCCUGGCGGUGGCGGCGCUCGCCCUCAGUCCCAGCACCUGGGAGGCGGAGGCGGAGGCAGGGGGAUGUCUGUGAGUUGGAGGCCAGCCUGCUCUUUAGUCUCUGAGACCGGAGCUGGGCACUAAGGCUGCAGUUGGGGGAGUUUCCUUAGGGUUUGUCAUAGAGAGCUUCGUUAGCCUCGUUACACAGCGUUAGGUGAGUUCUUGGGGACCUGACCCCCUCACACAGCCACGCACCUGAGCUAAAAACGCAUGCAUGCAUGCAUACAUAUGCCUCAUGAGGUGGCUCAGCUCCUCCUGAACCAGCCUUUGCUGCAUUUUCUUCCUUCUGGUCAUUCUUGGCAAGUGACAACCGCUGCAGCCCCCUCAGUGAGACAGAUGCUGGGGGAAAAGCUUAAACCCGUCUCCCACUGUGUGACAAGUGGUCCCUUGUGUGGAACCAGUGAAGACAGAGUCGCAGGCCGAAACCAGCUUCGAGUGUUCAGCCUGUUCACUGUUCCACUUUGCUUCAAGUGGCAAAUGACCGUUGAUUGAACGGUCCGCUCCUGCAGAUGUCAGUCACUACACCCAUCAUCGUCAAGGCUCGAACUCACUGCUUCUGCAGACCGCCCUGACUGCUGAGUGCAAAUCCGAAGUCCCAGAGCCACGGCUUCGGGGAAUGUCCCUUAGCCAACCAAAUGUGCUGUCGAUGCUUUGCAGCCCAUUCUGAACUCAAAUCGCAAAUCCCUCCAAUCUGUUGCCUCUGCCUCCCCGGUGCUGAAACUAAAGGUGUGGACCCACCAUUGCCCAGGUUCAAAUCUGCCUUUAGUCUAACAUAAUUUCCAUAAUGUAAACUCCGCAAGCAAGUCGUUAGGGGAAAAAAGCAGGAAAUGCGUAUGAAAAUGGCAUACAACAUAGCCACAUUUACCAAUAUACUCCAUGGACUGGCGAGG